Molecule: long non-coding RNA, 2032 nt
Filed under: Mus musculus (house mouse)
Lineage: Eukaryota; Metazoa; Chordata; Mammalia; Rodentia; Muridae
Description: predicted gene 9821
Source: RNAcentral
GGCUGGCACCUCUCGUGCCCACCCCGCAGCUGGGAAAACAGCCCUGGAGCUGUGCACUGGAGCGGCGCCUCUGGGCCAGUGAAGAGGACGCCUGCCCUGCAGGGGAGCGGCGUCGAGCCUUGCCUGUGGGCAGCCCCACGCCACUGGACCGCCGCUGCCUCUCUCCGGGACCUCGUGCCUUUCGUUGGAAAUGCUUCCUAAAGAAGGUCUCCAUGCCAGGGGCUGUUGGGCAUACAGACUGGGAGUGUCAGGAGCUGGGCCAAGCUGAAGCACAGCUGUGUCCCAUAAGCAAAGAAGGGACACAUAGGUGUUAGGGAUGAGGACCCUCUGUCCUCUGUGAAAAGAGCUUGAAGGUACCAGGAAGAGCAGGGGAACCCAAGCUUGGUUACUGGAGUAUAAACACUGCUCCCUGCAAGCAUUCCCUAAAUUCUACCCCAGGAGUUCUUAGGAGAUGGGGCCUCACCUGCCCAGGCACCAGAAACAACAGAGAUCUGAGCCUAAAGGACUUCAACUGCCUUGCCAGAAAUGGAAGCAAAAGGUAACCUGGGACCCAGACUCUGCCUGGGUAGACUACAAGGGCUCUGGGGCCUGUCCCUCUCAUCUGGUCUUCCUUUUGCCCACACAUGGAACAGGUUGGGUUCCUCUCCUGGGAUACAGUGCAAUUAAGCAAAAAUACUAAACGUGGGUUCUCUGCGAAGGCUCUGAGUCCUGAUAAAAUCCCUAUAUUCAGCCCAAACCUUGGGUUUAGUUACUGGGAGACUGGGCUUCUGAGAAUUGGAAAAGCACGGCCUGCCCCAAGAGUGUUAUUGUCUUGGUGUGGGGGAUACAGCAAGAGGUUCUGGCUAAGAGAACGCUGAUGCUAGAUGCCAUGUGCACACAUCUCUAAGAACUUUCUGGUAAUGAAUGACUCUGUCUCACUGUUCCAAAGACUGCAAUAUGGGGAUCCCAAGGUGUGAGGUCCCCAAACCCCUUAAGCCUUCCUACGGAGGGAUUCAGCGCAACAUACUGUCCUCAGGCUCACACGUCUAUGCAGAGAGCAGGGGCCUGGGCUCUUCCCUGGGUGUGUACCAGGCCAUGCACGCUAUCCAGACACCUAUUUCUUUACUCCCUGGUCUAUCUUUCCUCCUUCCCAGGCCCCGGGGACCAACUCCUGUGCUCACACCUCUUCUACACUUGAGGAAUGGCAGGAAGCCCCCAAUCAGCUGAGGGAGAUGGCUCCAAAGAGCAGCCAUGGAAGCCCAAGUCACAUCCACGAGUGCUACUGGAUGACACAAUUUCUGCCUGCCGAGGGUCUGGCUGAAGUCCAGAGCAGUGGUGGAGAGGAAGGGCUGCCUGGGAGCACAGCCUGGGAAGACAGGCCCACCUGAUCUAUGCAGCACCUGCUCUCUGCCCUCUGUCUAUCCUCGAUAUAGGUCUCAGCAGGCAGCGGUAGAGCCAGUAUAGGGUGUGGCAGAGAAAAGAAGUGGGCCCAGGGGACAGAGCUCCUGCAAUCAGUGAGCAAGGGGUGGGAGGGUGGGGGGACUGCGCAAGCAAAGCAGCAUUGAGACUGGACAGGAGGUGAGUUCCAGAAACAUAAGAGCCGACACUGGCAAGAGGGCUGGUUUCAUCCAGCUAACAGUUAAUGGGUCCACUACAUAUACACAGAGGGGGUGGGGGAAAGAUAGUUAGAUAGGUGUACACACACACACACACACACACACACACACACACAGAGAGAGAGAGAGAGAGAGAAGCAUGCACCAGAUGAAGAAGCAAGCUAAGGCACCAAGGGUAGCACACACAAAGCCCACAGGCAGCGAGUAUGGAGCAGAUGGUAGACCCUGGGAUGGAGGUGAGACGGGCUAGAGAAAGGCCCACACUAGUCACAGCCAUCUAGUGCUACUCUGUGCCAGACCAUGGGUGAGCCCUCCACCACCUCACUGAUCCUACCAGAGCCUCUGAGGGAGGCACGGUAGGUGGUUCUCUGUGACUUUGAGGCUAACCUGGUUGACAAAGCAAGUUCCAAGACAGCCAGGGCUACAUAGUGAGACCC